UACGAAGGUCCCGAGCGUUGUUCGGAAUCACUGGGCGUAAAGGGAGCGUAGGCGGCGUGGUAAGUCAGAUGUGAAAUCCCGGGGCUCAACCCCGGAACUGCAUCCGAUACUGCCGUGCUUGAGUAAUGGAGGGGUAGCUGGAAUUAUCGGUGUAGCAGUGAAAUGCGUGGAGAUCGAUAGGAACACUCGUGGCGAAAGCGAGCUACUGGACAUUAACUGACGCUGAGGCUCGAAGGCCAGGGGAGCAAAAGGG
This 253-nucleotide ribosomal RNA is filed under the name uncultured bacterium. RNAcentral's name for it is "partial 16S ribosomal RNA". It matches the Rfam family "Bacterial small subunit ribosomal RNA", at positions 524 to 776 of the family's 1533-position model. The record is from RNAcentral.